Molecule: non-coding RNA, 148 nt
Filed under: Gorilla gorilla gorilla (western lowland gorilla)
Lineage: Eukaryota; Metazoa; Chordata; Mammalia; Primates; Hominidae
Source: Rfam by way of RNAcentral
GCCAGGCAUGGUGGUGCGUGCCUGUAGUCCCAGCUACUCAGGAGGCUGAGGUGGAAGGAUGGCUUGAGUCCAGGAAGUGGAGGUUGCAGUGAGCCAAGAUAGGGCCACUGCAUUCCAGCCUGGGCAAUAGAGGGAGACUCCAUCUCAA